AUGAACGCUGGCGGCGUGCCUCAUCCAUGCAGGUCGAGCGAACAGACGAGGAGCUUGCUCCUCUGACGUUAGCGGCGGACGGGUGAGUAACACGUGGAUAACCUACCUAUAAGACUGGGAUAACUUCGGGAAACCGGAGCUAAUACCGGAUAAUAUAUUGAACCGCAUGGCUCAAUAGUGAAAGACGGUUUUGCUGUCACUUAUAGAUGGAUCCGCGCCGCAUUAGCUAGUUGGUAAGGUAACGGCUUACCAAGGCAACGAUGCGUAGCCGACCUGAGAGGGUGAUCGGCCACACUGGAACUGAGACACGGUCCAGACUCCUACGGGAGGCAGCAGUAGGGAAUCUUCCGCAAUGGGCGAAAGCCUGACGGAGCAACGCCGCGUGAGAGAUGAAGGUCUUCGGAUCGUAAAACUCUGUUAUUAGGGAAGAACAAAUGUGUAAGUAACUAUGCACGUCUUGACGGUACCUAAUCAGAAAGCCACGGCUAACUACGUG
Molecule: ribosomal RNA, 496 nt
Filed under: uncultured bacterium
Lineage: Bacteria
Description: partial 16S ribosomal RNA
Rfam family: Bacterial small subunit ribosomal RNA
Source: RNAcentral